ACAACAGCAGCUGAUUUCACUGUGCUGUCUGUCGUCUAACGUUAAGUGUGCCAAUCAGUGAAACCACCUGCUGUAAUGC
Molecule: microRNA precursor, 79 nt
Organism: Astatotilapia calliptera (eastern happy)
Lineage: Eukaryota; Metazoa; Chordata; Actinopteri; Cichliformes; Cichlidae
Source: Ensembl